UCCUACUAACUGUGGGAAGAUGUCUACAU
RNAcentral lists this non-coding RNA (29 nucleotides) under Rattus norvegicus (Norway rat). Lineage: Eukaryota; Metazoa; Chordata; Mammalia; Rodentia; Muridae. The record is from RNAcentral.